Small nuclear RNA from Delphinapterus leucas (beluga whale), 107 nucleotides. NCBI's taxonomy places the organism in Eukaryota, Metazoa, Chordata, Mammalia, Artiodactyla, Monodontidae. The record is from Ensembl.
GUGCUCACCUCGGCAGCACAUAGACUAAAAUUGGAACGAUACAGAGAAGAUUAGCAUGGCCCCUGAGUAAGGAUGACACGCAAAUUCCUGAAGCGUUCCAUAUUAAA